UACGAAGGGGGCUAGCGUUGCUCGGAAUCACUGGGCGUAAAGGGUGCGUAGGCGGGUCUUUAAGUCAGAGGGGAAAUCCUGGAGCUCAACUCCAGAACUGCCUUUGAUACUGAGGAUCUUGAGUUCGGGAGAGGUGAGUGGAACUGCGAGUGUAGAGGUGAAAUUCGUAGAUAUUCGCAAGAACACCAGUGGCGAAGGCGGCUCACUGGCCCGAUACUGACGCUGAGGCACGAAAGCGUGGGGAGCAAGCAGG
RNAcentral lists this ribosomal RNA (253 nucleotides) under uncultured bacterium. RNAcentral's name for it is "partial 16S ribosomal RNA". It matches the Rfam family "Bacterial small subunit ribosomal RNA", at positions 524 to 776 of the family's 1533-position model. The record is from RNAcentral.